RNAcentral lists this ribosomal RNA (253 nucleotides) under uncultured bacterium. RNAcentral describes it as "partial 16S ribosomal RNA". It matches the Rfam family "Bacterial small subunit ribosomal RNA", at positions 524 to 776 of the family's 1533-position model. The record is from RNAcentral.
UACGUAGGGUGCGAGCGUUAAUCGGAAUUACUGGGCGUAAAGCGUGCGCAGGCGGUUCGGUAAGUCAGAUGUGAAAGCCCCGGGCUCAACCUGGGAACUGCAUUUGAAACUGGCGGGCUUGAGUGUGGCAGAGGGGGGUGGAAUUCCGCGUGUAGCAGUGAAAUGCGUAGAGAUCGGGAGGAACACCAGUGGCGAAGGCGGCUACCUGGGCCAGCACUGACACUGAGGCACGAAAGCGUGGGGAGCAAACAGG